This 396-nucleotide RNase P RNA is filed under the name Actinomycetota bacterium. Its description in RNAcentral is "RNase P RNA component class A". It matches the Rfam family "Bacterial RNase P class A". From Rfam's summary of the family: Ribonuclease P (RNase P) is a ubiquitous endoribonuclease, found in archaea, bacteria and eukarya as well as chloroplasts and mitochondria. Lineage: Bacteria; Bacillati; Actinomycetota. The record is from RNAcentral.
GGAGCUGGCCGGGCGGCCGCGGCUCGGUAAUGAGUCGAGGAAAGUCCGGACUCCACAGGGCAGGGUGCUGGGUAACGCCCAGGCGGGGUGACCCGCGGAAAGUGCCACAGAAACAAACCGCCUACCGCCGAUGCCCCCGGGGUCCCCGCGGAGAGAUUCGCGGGGGGAAGGCCAAGGCGAGGCAAGGGUGAAACGGUGAGGUAAGAGCUCACCAGCGGCCGGGCGACCGGCCGGCUAGGCAAACCCCACCCGGAGCAAGGCCAAGCAGGGAGCGGGCGGCCCGUCCGAUGCUCCCGGGUAGGCUGCACGAGGGUCGCGGCGACGCGGCUCCCAGAGAGAUGGUCGCCGCCGGCGCCAGCGCCGGCACAGAAUCCGGCUUACAGGCCGGCUCCUCCA